RNAcentral lists this long non-coding RNA (3264 nucleotides) under Sus scrofa (pig). RNAcentral describes it as "lncRNA (ENSSSCG00030016382.1)". The record is from RNAcentral. Lineage: Eukaryota; Metazoa; Chordata; Mammalia; Artiodactyla; Suidae.
UUUUUUUUUUUUUUUUUUUUUUUUUUCUGCCUUUUAGGACCACACCCGCAGCAUAUGGAGGUUCCCAGGCUAGGAGUCGAAUAGGAGCUACAGCUGCCAGCCUAUGCCACAGCCACAGCAAUGCCAGAUCCAAGCCAAGUCUGCAACCUACACCACAGCUCACAGCAACACUGGAUCCUCAACCCACUGUGCAAGGCCAGGGAUCAAACCCGCAACCUCACAGUUCCUAGUCAGAUUUGUUUCCACUGCACCAUGACAGGAAAUCCCAGCACUUUUUGCAAACUUUAACUCAUUCAGAGCUCUAGCCUCCCCACAUUCUUAAUGACACCAGACUUUUCUGUAUUAACCAUCAGUUAUUCACCAUUAGUAAAUGUGGGUAUCCUUGAUAUGUUUUCUUUUGAAGUUUAUUAGAAAUUACUUAGGUGGAAAUUACAGUAUUUUCUCUAGUUGCCUCAUAAUUUUUCUACCAUCUGUGGAAAUUUCUUCAUACUUUUAAUAACUUUUUCUUUUUAAUGGCUGCAUCCAUGGCAUUCCCAGGCCAGGAACUGAAUCUGAGCCACAGGUGCAACCUACUCCACAGCUGCAGCCAACACCAGAUCCUUUAAACCACUGUGCCAGGCUAGGGAUUGAACUCACACCUGCACAGCAACCUCAGCCACUGCAGUCGGAUUCUUAAUCCACUACACCACAGCAUAACUCCAAAAUGUUUCAUUUUUAAAUGCCUUCUAUCAAUAUUGAUUGAUAAUACCAUCUGUGGUCAUUACCAAUCUUUUUUUAAAUUUUUUUUCUUUUUAAGGCCGCACCUAUGGCAUAUGGAAGUUUCCAGUCUAGGGGACCAAUCAGAGCUACAGCUGCCAGCCUAUGCCACAGCCACAGCAAUGCCAAACCCCCAAACCACAUCUGCAACCUACACAGCAGCCUGCAGCAACACCGGAUCCUUCACCACUUAGCAAGGCCAGGAAUGGAACCUAUAUCCUUAUGGAUACUAGUCAGGUUCUUAACCUGAUGAGCCACAAUAGGAACUCCUAUCAAUCUUUUUUCUGAAUUUUCUGAAACCCACUUUUUUGUGAAUUCCUCUAAUAACAUAAAAUCCAAUGUGACACAGUCACUAAUUUUUGAUUCCCAUUAUUUCCAUUUUCAUCUAGGAGACAAAGAAUAGUGCUUUGGAAAAAGCAUGAGGAGCUUGGAAGUCUGACAGAUAUUUGUCACUUAGCAGUUUUGUGUUACAAACUUCUCUGUGCCACAAUUUUGGCAUCAACGAAAUAACAAAUAGUAUUUACUGAGCACCUAUUUUAUAUCAAGUACAUUACAGACUCUACAUAAGUAGAAAGUACUAUAUCAUUUAUAUUGAGGAAAACUAGGGCUUCAUAUAAGCAACUUGCUUCAAAAGUUACAGAGCUCGAGUGCUAGAGCGAGAAUUUAAAUCCAGAUCUGAUUCCAAACCCAUGUUCACAAAGGAGAGACCAUAAAAUGGGCCCACAUGCCCAAAACAAAUGUUCAGUAAUGAUUAACCCCAUUUGUCCCUCUCUGCUCUUCCUUGCUGGUCAGAAUCAAUUUCAUACUAGCAAUUCUCACCAACAUUCAGAAGAUUAACCUCUCAGCAAAUAAUUUAUCAAAAAGCUCUAAUAAGCUUUAUUAUUAAUGUAUUUUUAAUUAAUCUACUUAGUAAAAAGUAAAAACUCUUAUCACAUUAUGCCGAACAUAAUUUUCAGGGAUUUUUGUGUUAAAGGAGCCUUACAUGCAAUCAUAAAAGCCCAGGGUUAGAGACAUUAAAAGUCUAGCAAAAAAUAAAAAAAUAAAAACAAAGUAGCUGAACUACUUUAUUCAGCAUAAUGUGUUACUCCACCUCAAAAUUCUUAAAACAUACCAUGUAGAGAAAAAGCUUCUUUAAAAAAAGAACUAUCAGAGUUCCCGUUGUCGUGCAGCAGUUAACGAACCUGACUAGGAACCCAUGAUAUGGGUUCAAUUCCUGGCCUCACUCAGUGCGCUAAGGAUCCGCCAUUGCCAUGAGCUGUGGUGUAGGUCACAGGCACAGCUCAGAUCCAGCGUUGUUGUGGCUGUGGUUGAGGCCAGCAGCUGUAGCUCCAAUUCAACCCCUAGCCUGGGACCUCCAUAUGCCACAGGUGUGGCCCUAAAAAGACAAAGGACAAAAAAUAAUAAUAAUAAUAAUAAAUAAAUAAAUAAAUAACCUCCUAAAAUAACCAAAAUAAUGUGACCAGAAUGAUCCUUUCUUAUAUUACUACAAUGAAAUUAACAUCAUCGUUUAGAUUUAUUAUUCUGCAAAUAGGCACGCUUACUUGAACUGAACCCCAAGUAUAGUUUCAGCACAUUGAGGCCUCUAGGUACUGAACUACAACUGUGGUCCUCUUUAAUAAACAAAUACAAUUCUUGAAUAUAUGACACUGACUUAUUACUGUGCAAAAUUUUUAAUGAAACACUAACCAGUAAGAGCUGCCUACUAAAAAUGCACACAAAACAAAAUAAGGGAACAAAGAAUAUGGGUAAGUAACACACCUUGAUGAAUAAACUUAAGAAAUUUCUUUUUUUUUUUUUUUUUUUUGGUUUUUAGAGCUGCCCACAGCAUAUGGGAGUUCCCAGGGUAGGGGUCAAAUCAGAGCUGCAGCUGCUGGCCUACACCACAGCCACACCCACAUGGGAUCCAAGCCACAUUUGCAACCAACAUGACAGCUCACAGCAACACCAGAUCCUUAACACACUGAGCAAGGCCAGGUUUGGUACUGCUGAACCACAACAGGAACUCCUAAGUGAUUUCUAUUUUUAAAAACCCAAAUAGUCAGGCAUUCCCGCUAUGCUGCAUUAGGAUCAGUGGCAUCUCUGCAACACCAGAACACAGGUUCUACCCCUAGCUCAACACAGUGGGUUAAAGAAACCAGCGUUUCUGCAGCUGCCUCAUAGGUCCACAUCUGAUCCCUGGCCCAAGAACUCCAAGUGCUAAGGGGUAGCCCAAAAAAAGGAAGAAAAAAGAAAAUUUUUUUUAAAAAACUAUUCAAAUCACAGCUACUUCCAGUUCUGUUUUUUGUGUAUAAAACACAAUAUUUUAGCAAAAACAGUCCUUGAAUAUAAGCCCUAUAAGAAAACUAAAAUGCCACUGUAAAACGUGAUACAAAAAAUUCACUAAAGAAUCCCCACUGUGACACAGGGGGUUAAGGAUCCAGUGCUGGCUCUGUCAGCGUGGAUUUGAGCCCUGGCUCACAAACUUCCAACUACAGUUGGCGCAGGCAUUAAAAAAAAAAAAAAAAAAAA